CCAACGGGUCUCCCAGUCCGGGCGGAAAUCGGCCGGAGAGGGUAAGGGCAAAAGGGGGCUUGAUGGCAAGACAGACAGGUCGAGCAAGGAGGAAAGUCGGACUUGGGGAUCCGGUGGUUGUGCGUGGAAGGGCCAUCGCUCAACGGAUAAAAGCUACCCUGGGGAUAACAGGCUUAUCGCCCCCAAGAGUCCACAUCGACGGGGAGGUUUGGCACCUCGAUGUCGGCUCAUCACAUCCUGGGGCUGUAGUAGGUCCCAAGGGUUGGGCUGUUCGCCCAUUAAAGUGGUACGCGAGCUGGGUUCAGAACGUCGUGAGACA
Molecule: ribosomal RNA, 319 nt
Filed under: Clostridioides difficile
Lineage: Bacteria; Bacillati; Bacillota; Clostridia; Peptostreptococcales; Peptostreptococcaceae
Description: bacterial LSU rRNA
Rfam family: Bacterial large subunit ribosomal RNA
Source: RNAcentral